Molecule: long non-coding RNA, 328 nt
Filed under: Homo sapiens (human)
Lineage: Eukaryota; Metazoa; Chordata; Mammalia; Primates; Hominidae
Description: HSALNT0244296
Source: RNAcentral
AUUUUCACUUGCAAAUAUUCCUGAUAGGUCAUAUUUUAAGCUGCUAAAAACUGAUACAAGCUGUUCAUUCUUUCAGGGAUAAGGUGACAACCAGCAAGAGAAAAAAACAAGGUAAUGCACUUGAGACAGUAAGGUAGGCUCUCGGAAAAGGAGGGCUGUGGUGAUCAGAGCCCACGGACGUCCAAAAAUGUGACUUGGCUGGGCCUAAAAGAGGGGAGCGGCUCUUCUAAAAACAAAAUCACCCCCUGGAAAUUAUGUUGGUUGGUUCCUUGGGGCAUUGAACGGUUCUUUUUCAAGUUAUUUACUUGCUCGUUACCGCCAGUCCCAG